This 1379-nucleotide long non-coding RNA is filed under the name Homo sapiens (human). RNAcentral's name for it is "CSMD2 antisense RNA 1 (CSMD2-AS1)". The record is from RNAcentral. Lineage: Eukaryota; Metazoa; Chordata; Mammalia; Primates; Hominidae.
GAGUCCUCCAAGCAGCAGGGAAGCAAGUGCAAAGGUCCUUGCAGAAGCGAGCUUGGCAUAUUAGAGGGACAGAGGGAGGCCGGAGCAACUGGAGGGUCUUCAGAGACUAUCAAGUGCCAACAAGGGGAUUACCCCUCUGCCCCUCUAAAGGAUUGCAAGAAAGAAGACACCAAAUCCAUGGCAUUUUUUCCCUUAGGAAAGAAGGGAGAUAAUGAGAAGCCUCCACUUGCAAACUGACAUGCUGAAAGCUGCCCUAUGGAGAGGCUCAUGUGGCAAGGAACAGAGGGUGGCUUCUGGCCAACACCCAGUGAGGAACUCAGGCCCUCAGUCAAACAGCCUGCAAGGAACUGAACCCUGCCAAUAACCGCAGUGUCAGCCCCCGGCCAAUGACCACCAUGGACCUCCCUGUAGUUGAACAAAGUUGGGUUUGCUGACUGGUGGCAGUGAGGGAGAAUGCACACCACAGGGAGCUGUGCAGUGUCUCAGUAAGAAGCCAGGAGCCAUCCCGUGAGGCCGUUACUGCAAACAAGCUGAAAAUCCUGCUUUGUUUCUUUUGGACACAACAUGCUUUCCUUCAGCUUCAGUAGACGAUGAGGCCAGCACCACAUGGGCUAGAUGUACAUGAGAUGUGAGCAACCACACUUCCCCUCUGACGGGGACAGACAGCAUCACAGGACAUGAAGUUCUAAGAGGUUCAGUGACUUGUCUAAGAUUAAACAGCUAUGAAUGGAGAACUGGAGGCAAAUGCCUCAUCAUCUCUCACCUGGGCAACUGCAACAAUGAGCAGUUUGUGUCUGUGCCUGCAUCCAUCCUUCCAUCCUGUACUCCAGCAGCAGCCAGGGUGGUCUUUCAAAAAUGCAAAGCUGAUAAUGUUACUCCCCUGCUGUAAACCUUCCAGCGGUUUCCUAUUGCCUUCAGAAUAAAAUACGAAUCAUCUGGCCUCCAUCUAUCUCUCCAGGCUCAUCCUCUCUCAAUUUUCCAUAUCCUUCAGUAUCCUGUUGGGACAGACAGAUGAAGAACCAGAGACCAGAGAGUUUAAGUAGCUUGCCAAAGGUCACACAGCAGUGUAAGCAGUACGGGUGAUUCUUAAGCCCACAUUGUUUGACUUCCGAGACAUAUCAGAAAACUACGUCAAAGAACACGCACAACUCAGACCUAUUUCCAGUGGCCUAUGCAGAAGAGCUACCCUGCUUGAAUGGAAACCCCUUAAGAUACACUAUUCUCAAAAACCUAAGUGCUUAGCCUGGCUUAUGGAGGAGGCAAUGCAAUCUACCACAAGAUGAUUAAGACAACAAUGAACUUAAGACCCAGCCACUGCUGGAGAAUAUCUGCCUGUGAAUUCAAUUUGGUUCAAUUCAAUCCGAAAAAAAAAAAAAAAA